RNAcentral lists this ribosomal RNA (373 nucleotides) under uncultured organism. RNAcentral's name for it is "partial 16S ribosomal RNA". It matches the Rfam family "Bacterial small subunit ribosomal RNA", at positions 526 to 896 of the family's 1533-position model. The record is from RNAcentral.
GUAGGGAUCCGAGCGUUGUCCGGAUUUACUGGGCGUAAAGGGUGCGUAGGGCGGCAUGUUAAGUCUCAUGUGAAAUCUCCCGGCUCAACUGGGAGGGGUCAUGGGAAACUGGCAAGCUGGAGGGCAGUAGAGGAGAGUGGAAUUCCCGGAGUAGUGGUGAAAUGCGUAGAUACCGGGAGGAACACCAGAGGCGAAGGCGACUCUCUGGACUGUACCUGACGCUGAGGCACGAAAGCGUGGGGAGCGAACCGGAUUAGAUACCCGGGUAGUCCACGCCCUAAACGAUGGAUACUAGGUAUAGGGGGUAUCGACCCCUCCUGUGCCGUAGCUAACGCGAUAAGUAUCCCGCCUGGGGAGUACGGCCGCAAGGCUA